Molecule: ribosomal RNA, 254 nt
Filed under: uncultured bacterium
Lineage: Bacteria
Description: partial 16S ribosomal RNA
Rfam family: Bacterial small subunit ribosomal RNA
Source: RNAcentral
UACGUAGGGGGCAAGCGUUGUCCGGAAUCAUUGGGCGUAAAGCGCGUGUAGGCGGUUUCGCACGUCCGGUGUGAAAGCCCAGGGCUCAACCCUGGAAGUGCACUGGAUACGACGGAGCUGGAGUACUGAAGAGGAGAGCGGAAUUCCCGGUGUAGAGGUGAAAUUCGUAGAUAUCGGGAGGAACACCUGUGGCGAAGGCGCCUUGCUGGCCAAUUUCUGACGCUGAGGCGGCGAAAGCGUGGGGAGCAAACAGG